CCUGUGCCCCCCGCUCCUCCCAGGGCGCACACGCCGUCUCGUCCUAGGCGGCGGCGGGAGAGUAACGAAGCCAUUAAGCGAAGGGUUUGGAGGGCUCGGCAAUGAAGAGCUCAUCCUGCAGCAGCAGCACCAUGGGUAGAGUUAAAGUGAAUGUGCUGCCUCAAGCAAUCCUGCAAAGCCCAGGGGAGCAUCCCAGGUUCAUAAAGCAGACUCUUGGCCCCUCAUUAGACUCUGCAAGGAUUCAUUUGAUCAAAGACAAAGACGGCAUAGAUGAUUAUUUGGCAAAGAAUAUCAAAGGACUGUCAAAACAAGAAGCUGCUGCUAACAGGAAUUCAUACAAGAAGAACAUCUGCAUAGACAUGCUGCGACAGGGUUAUCACAAGUCCUUCUCCGAGCUCUUCGCUCUGAUAGAGAAGUGGAAUGCCUUGAGGGAGGCUGCAGGGCCUGGGUCAGCCAUAUGGCAGCAGAAGUCCCUGGAGGAGCAGCCUGAUAAGCUGGAUCAGCUUUACCACUUCCUGACCAGGGCUGAGGCAGCCCAGCGAGCAGGGCACUAUGAGGAGGUGUAUGAUAACCAGCUUAACUUGGCCUACUAUUUCAAUGACCCUGAGGACAAGUGGUUAAGUGAUUACUUUCAUGAGGAAUGCUUUAACACUGCUAAACUAAUAACAACUGAUAUCAGGAAAAGAGAGGCACAAGCACAUGCAAAUAUGGGCCUCAUCAAAGAGGAACAAGGUCAUGCCUUGAAAGCUGCUGAGUAUUAUGAAAUAUUUUAUCAUCUAACGGUUGGUUCAACAUGGAAGGAUGUGACAGGCCGUACUUACAAUUCACUGGCAUCUGAGUAUCUCUGGAGAAUUUAUACAUUACUAGCAGACAAAAUGCUAGAAAAUAAUGAACACCAACAGGCCAUCAAAACAUUAAAAAAAGCUUUAAAAAUGGCAAAAAAUGUAGGUGAAAUGAAGAUCCAAGGAGAAGCUACAUAUUGCCUGAGUUUAGCGUAUUAUUUUGCUGGAGAAAACCAGACAGCAUUAUCAACUUUGGACACCUCUGUAAAAAUCUUCACACCACUUUGUGAUUCUGCUGGCCUAAGCAGAGCAUAUGCAGCUAUAGCCAAGAUCCUGGUAAGUCAGGGAAAAGCAGCUGAAACUACAAAGCACUUGGAAGAGUUCAUGAAGGCUGCUGAGAACGCUCAUCUAAGACAAAGCCUGGUGGAUGCAUGUGUAUUACUUGGGAAUAUUUACAAUGAAAAAGGGAGCUAUAAUGAAGCUUGUGAAUAUUUCAGUCAGGCUUACGAAACAGCAAAAACUUUAAAUAAUUUGCCCUUAGUGGAUGAAACAAAAGCUUACUAUGGCAUUGCAAAGGCUCAUAAGCUGAUGGUGCCAUUUAAUAGCCAUAUAGUAGCAGAAGAUCUCAUCAGCCUCAAGUAUCUGCUGGCAUGGAAAGAGAACAGAAGUGACAUGUGCACUGACCCUCUUACAGUUGCUUAACUUUUAAUUUUUUACUUUAUGGUGUCCUCAGCCUGCUGAUUUUCCUAUUUACUUUCUUUACGUAGUCAAGACCUACAUUUAAAAGAACAAAACAUAAAAGUACAAGAUGCCUGCUUACUUACAGAGAAGCUAGUAAUGAGUACAGGAAGAUCACUGAAGAGUCAUGCAACCAAGUAGGAAUUUUGCUAGGAGUUUUGUCAUUUAAAUGGAAGCACAGUGUUACAGUAUAAAUAUCUGAGAGCUGGAAGUUCUUUUAUGACUGAAAUGUGGCUUCAAUGUGUAUUGCAUGUUUUUAAUCAAAAAUAGCUGGUGUCAUUGAAAUAAAUACAAAAGAAAAAGAGUAAUACAGAAUAAAAACUUUUCAUGUUGUGCCCCAAAUGCUUAUUGCCUUUCAAAGCGUCAAGAUCCUCCUGUUAAGAUAAUAAACGUACUUUAUGCCUACUGAGUGGGAAUCCAAGAUGCACAAUACCUUGUAAGAUCAGGUUCUGAACGUGCCUGGAGAGUUUUCGUUAAACGCCAAAUUAUUGUCCCUUUCAGAAAAAAACAACUACAAGCUUGACACCUUAUUCAUAGGGCUAUCAGUGAUUUUAGCAGCUGUGCUUAACAGUUGCUGUUCAACUGUAGCUUAAAUAGAGUAGAUCCAACAUGGGUGGCACAUUAUGAUGCGAUUUUUACCUAAUCUAUAACGCAGGUCGGACCCAAAGCACAACUGUUUGUUUAAAAUCUGGUUGAGUACGCUCAUGAAAGUGUUGAAAGCCUGUACAAUCAAAGCAUUUGAAAUGUCAUUGACUGUCUCAAGUGCAAUGUUAAUCUACAGGCACAGCUGAAAUAACUGUAUUUAACAAUGAAAGUACAUCUGGUAGAAUACCUGUACAUCACAUUUUCAAAAGUGAACACGAAAUUUCCCUUUGAGCAAAGCCUGUGUUCAUUCACACAAUCAGGUAAAAAAAAUCUGCUUCAAUUCUUUCUAAUAAAUAAUCUGAAGCACUGAUUUUGGAGUGUGUGUAGAGAAUUGUCUCCCAUUUCAAGCUGAUGAAAUUCUUGACUGUGGAUUCCCCAUACAAUCCACAGCAGUCAGACUCCUGUUGUCUUCACAGUCCUCAGAAGGCAUUUUCCAGCUGCCAUUGCUAUUGGUCCAAAGAAAAGUUAGAGGACAGAAGAUGGAGGUUAUCACUUUGCAAAAUACAUGUAAAAGCAGGAUUUAGAACCUUUAACUUUUAUCUGGUGCAAGCUUUCAUAAUUUCAUGUAUUAGAAAAUCUGUUCUUUCAAACCACAUAAAAAGAGCUUUCUGAAUCCAAACAGUCAACCACUUGUUUCUUUAAACAGAGGUUUCCAGAUUCAGCAUUUGAAACAAGAUCCAUUAGACCUGUAAUCAGUUUUUAUGGCAGUCUUUGAGCAAACAAUAGCUUUUGCCAUAGUAAUAACUCAAUUCACAGUUUUCUUCAGGAUUGCAGUUUGAGUAACUGGUUGACAUGGGACAAUAGAAUUUCUCCCUGUUUUAAGGCAUGGUAAAAACGUUUUCAUUAAACGUUUCAUUAACUAGCUCUUAUUAGACCAUUUUUGAUGGUCUAAUAAGAGUAUACAUAAUGUACACAUUUUGAUGUGUAUAUGCAAUG
Molecule: RNA transcript, 3101 nt
Organism: Pezoporus flaviventris
Lineage: Eukaryota; Metazoa; Chordata; Aves; Psittaciformes; Psittacidae
Gene: TTC29
Gene name: tetratricopeptide repeat domain 29
Exons: 12
Source: RefSeq, a predicted model, not a curated record